Molecule: ribosomal RNA, 213 nt
Filed under: uncultured bacterium
Lineage: Bacteria
Description: partial 16S ribosomal RNA
Rfam family: Bacterial small subunit ribosomal RNA
Source: RNAcentral
AGGGGGACAACAGUUGGAAACGACUGCUAAUACCGCAUACGAUCUAAUCUCGGCAUCGAGGAUAGAUGAAAGGUGGUCUCUACAUGUAAGCUAUCACUGAAGGAGGGGAUUGCGUCUGAUUAGCUAGUUGGAGGGGUAACGGCCCACCAAGGCGAUGAUCAGUAGCCGGUCUGAGAGGAUGAACGGCCACAUUGGGACUGAGACACGGCCCAG